GUACAUGCUCUUUAGAAAUUUGGUCUUGGAUUCUGACACUAUAAUUUGUAACUUUUGGUUGUAAAUUCUGUACUCUGUGGUAUAUAAAUUGUUUUCUAUUUACGAUGGCGCAAGAUUUGUGGUCGCUGCAAAACCCUGUUUUUGCUUUCUACGUCCUCUGCUCUUCCGUGUUGCUGUUCAAAACAUUGUUCAUGGCCAUUUUGACAGGAUAUGUGAGAAUAACGUACAAGAGCUAUUCAUGGGCAGAAGACAAUGUUUCUGCAGGAGUUAAAGAGGUGAAACCAGAACACCCUGUUGUGGAACGAGUGCGUGGAUGCCAUCGGAAUGACAUUGAAAACAAUGUGCCAUUUGGUAUAAUCGGUCUGCUUUACACCAUGACAAAUCCAUCUGUGUGGAUAGCCAGGUUACUGCUUAGUGGGUUUACAGUGCUACGUUUACUUCAUACAAUCAUCUUUUUGAAGCAACUCGGACAACCUUAUCGAUUCCUUUCCUUUCUGUUUGCUCUUAUCAUUAAUUUUAUAAUGCUUAUCUCUGUUUUUAUACAUGCACUGCCACUGAUAAUCUAGUUUUGAAAUAUUUUGCUUUCUGAAAUCGCUGUUGCAUGUUUAAACAUGAUUAUAUACACAAAUAUUGUGGGCUAAUUUAGUUCAGAAUUAGUUCCUAUUUCAAAUAUAAUAAAGGAUGCAGAAGAGUGCUUGUGUAUUUUCUUUAUUUAACACAGAUCAACAUCGUCCACAUAAUUUGGACAAACUCAGUUUUAGGGUUUUGUUAGCUAUGAAGGUUAGAUGAAUCAACCAUAAUGUGCAUGCCAACGUAAAAAUUCUUGGCUUUCAUCACUUUAAUUGUAUUGCACUUUGC
This is a long non-coding RNA of Dendronephthya gigantea, 858 nucleotides long. RefSeq lists it as uncharacterized. The record is from RefSeq and is a predicted model, not a curated record. NCBI's taxonomy places the organism in Eukaryota, Metazoa, Cnidaria, Anthozoa, Malacalcyonacea, Nephtheidae. The transcript has 3 exons.